AGGAAAAAUUGACGCCAAAGGAAUGCUUGCGCGCAAACCAUCCGUCGAUUCCGAUGGAGUGUCACAAUUUGAAAACUCUCUUCUUUGAAUGCAAGCGCUCGAUGACAACAGACAAAGGUUCCGAGGAAGGAAAGGCUACUGACUGUCACGUAUUCAAGUCGUAGGAUAGCUGAAUGACAAGCCGUUAUCACGGUGUACGUAUGUCAUGAAUAAACUUUAUUUUGCUUUGUA
Long non-coding RNA from Dermacentor silvarum, 231 nucleotides. RefSeq lists it as uncharacterized. The record is from RefSeq and is a predicted model, not a curated record. NCBI's taxonomy places the organism in Eukaryota, Metazoa, Arthropoda, Arachnida, Ixodida, Ixodidae. The transcript has 2 exons.